RNAcentral lists this ribosomal RNA (2898 nucleotides) under Triticum aestivum (bread wheat). RNAcentral describes it as "partial small subunit ribosomal RNA". The record is from RNAcentral. Lineage: Eukaryota; Viridiplantae; Streptophyta; Magnoliopsida; Poales; Poaceae.
AUGUGGAGGAACAAAUCGAAGAAUUCAAGGCCCAGAUCCAAGGUGCACGGGACCGCUGCACAAGUUGCCAUGGAUCCUAAACUGCUCCAUGGGGAGGCGCCUUGCCGCCUUGUGGGCAGCGAUGAACCAAGGAAUGUUCUUGUUAACCACCUGAUGGACCAAGAAGAGCGGCGUAAGGUGGUGUGCAUCGUGGGAACCGGAGGAAUUGGCAAGUCAACUCUUGCCACGGGAAUAUACCGACAGCUCCAAGGGCAGUUCAGCUGCGGGGCUUUCGUGCAUCUCGGCCGGAACCCGUCUGUGAAGACGACCCUGAUCAGUAUACUCAAGCAAGUAAUGCAGGACUGGCACUGCGAAGAGUAUUUAUGGAACGGCUACAACUCUGAGGACAUGGAAGCAUGGGACGAGAAGAAGGUCAUCAAUAAACUCUGGGCAUUCUUAAAAACAAAGAGUUAUUUUGUUGUGCUCGUGGACAUGCGGAGCAUAUCGACUUGGAAGAAGAUCAGUUGUGCUUUGCCUAAUAAAGACAAGUCUUCUGAUAGGAUAUUGAUUACAACUUGUACCAAGGAUGUAGCAGAAUCAUGUUGCAUACAUCCCAGUGAUUUUGUUCAUCCGAUGGAGCGCCUUAGCGAGAAAGAUUCCAAAACAUUAUUUCAUAGUAAAGUACCUAUUUCAGAACAACAUAGGCUGCUUGAAGUUUCUGAUGACAUGUUGGAAAUGUGUGGUGGCGGCGUGCCAUUGGCCAUAACUAUUACAGCUGCAUUAUUAUCUAGGAAAUCUGCAUGCUUGCCACCUGACCAAUGUCAUUCCACACCACAAUGGAUGAGAAAGGUACUGGAGAUCAGCUAUGAUGAUCUACCACUUCCUUUGAAGUCUUGUUUUCUGUACUUGAGUGCUUUUCCUGGAAAUCGUACCAUCAAGAAAGAUAGUUUGAUAAGAAGAUGGGAAGCUGAAGGAUUAAUUGCUAAAAGAGAUGGAGAAAGCUUGUGGGAAACAGGGGAAAGCUACUUCAAUGAGCUUAUCAAUAGGAGACUGAUUCAACCGGCAUUUGAUGAUGAUAAUGAUGAGCCGACGGGUUGUACUGUUCAUGGUGUUGUUCUUGAUUUCAUGGAAUCCUUGUCAGCCGAAGAAAACUUUACUACUAAAGGUGGAAAGUUGAAGUGUGGACUAUUUCCUUAUGAAAGGGUCCGGCGAAUCUGCCUUGACUGCGGCGAACAAGACGAAGGUGACGCCUUGCUUAGCAGUAAAUAUUAUUGUUCUUCGAAACAAAAGAGUCGGGAGGAGGACUCAAGCAGUGAAGAAAGCUCAGUUUGUGACCAAGACAAAGCAAUUUCUUUGCACCUAUCUCAGGUGAGAUCCUUUGCAUUCUGUGGGGAUGUUGGAAGGAUCCCUGAUCUUUUAGAUCACUUCAGACUUGUACGGGUGCUAGAUCUCAGUGAUGUCAGCUUGCAAAACAAACAACUGGGAAGCAUUGGAAGUUUGUCUCUGCUGAGGUACUUGGCACUUGGCGGGGCCGAUGUCACAGAGCUGCCUCAACAAAUUAUGGAACUUGACCACCUGUCUACCUUAGAUUUAAGGCAGACUGAGGUAAAUGAAUUACCAGAAUUUAAGGGCACGACCAAGUUGGCGUGUUUGCUUGCAAAUGGUCUCACAAUACGGGGACAGGGAGGAGGAAUGGGGGAAAUGGAAAAAUUGGAGGAACUAUCAACGGUCUGUCUGGGUGGUGAUGGCUCACUUGCUGACAAUGUGGCAGGGCUUGUUAGAAAGUUGAUGCGGCUGCGGAUGCUUGGGGUGAGAUUUAGGAUUACGUAUAAUAAUACUGCAGAAGAAGCGGAACGGCAGGGCAUCAAGCAUUUGGUGGAGGAGGUGGGGAAAUCAAACUUGCAGUUCCUUUUUCUUGAUGAAUACCCUCAUCGUCUGCUCGACUUACUUGUUGACUGCUGGAGCCAUGUAAGGCCACGUUACCUGCGGAAAUUUGAGCUAAGAUUGGACUGGCUAUUGUGCCCCCUAAAAGUCCCACAGAAGAUCUCUUUGCUUGUUGACCUCACUCACUUGCAUAUCGGAGUUUCAAUAGUAGAUGCAGAAGGUGUCCGCGCCCUCGGGGGGCUGCCAAAGUUAGUCCUCCUAAAAUUGCAUUCACUGCGGCCACAACAUGUAUAUGGCCUCACCGGUGAACCACAAAGCCCAGCAAGGUUGUCCGUGAGCAGCAAGGAUGGCUUUCAGCGCCUCAAGGUGUUCUGGUACGUCUGCGAGCAUGGCGCUUGGACGGGGCUGCAGUUUGAAGAAGGCUCCAUGCCGCACCUCCGAAGGCUUCUCAUUGACUUCCAGUCAUCGGAGGAUACAGAUCACUUUGUGCUUGGUAUCCAGCAUUUCUCUUGUCUCGUGCAGGUCCGUGCCACCAUCUACUGUGAGCCUACUUCAACAACGGUUUCUGCCGCGGAGACCCACAUCAGAGACCAAGUGUCUCAGAACCCCAACAAUCCCCUACUGGAAUUCAACAGAAAACGUCGAGGCCGUUUGGUGAGGCGUCUAGGGCCGCUCUCUAAUGUGAAGAAGCAGCCAUCGGCGGUGAUUAAGAUCCGCAGCCUGGAUCACUGGACCAUGAUGAUCGAGCAGGAGGACAACAAGCUGCUCGUGAUUGAGUUCACCGCGAGCUGGUGCAGGGCAUCCGACACCAUAGCUCCCUUUUUUGCUCAUCUCGCCAACCAGUUUCCAGAUGCCAUUUUUCUCGAGGUUGAUAUUGAUGAUAUGAAGUAUAUUGCCGAGGCAUACAAAGUUGAUGGUGCGCCGAUGUUCCUGUUCAUGAACAGGCUAGAGGUUAAGGACACGCUUCGUGGCGCACACAAGGAUGAGCUGCUUGAGAAGAUUCAGCGGCAGAUGGCCCGGCUUGUGGACAAAUGA